GCAGACCAUAAAAUAACUCCCUGUAGCACAAAGCCUUCACAUCUGAGAUUUCAUCAACGUACAAUGAACACCAGACUGUUGACAACACUUCUGUUGGUGGGACUGAUGGUGUCCACCACGUUGGCUGUUGCCUGUAAGGUGGGAUGUGCAACGUCACGCAAUAACUGUCAGUUGGGCUGCAAAAACCUUCCCUUCCAGAAGAGGAGAGACUGCAGCAACAGGUGCGAGACCAAAUUUUCGGGUUGCACGAGACGCUGUGAAAACAACAAGCCCACGCCCUGGAAGUCUUAAAUGGUGGAAAUCGUGUCAAAAAAAUUUCCUAAAGCAAUCAAAUGUGUUCGAAAUCUUUCUUAAUAUGAAUAAAGAUUAUGCAAUUUUAUCAC
This is a long non-coding RNA of Ostrea edulis (European flat oyster), 383 nucleotides long. RefSeq lists it as uncharacterized. The record is from RefSeq and is a predicted model, not a curated record. Lineage: Eukaryota; Metazoa; Mollusca; Bivalvia; Ostreida; Ostreidae. The transcript is spliced from 3 exons.